RNAcentral lists this long non-coding RNA (1124 nucleotides) under Bemisia tabaci. Its description in RNAcentral is "lncRNA ENSSSA1NGG014269". Lineage: Eukaryota; Metazoa; Arthropoda; Insecta; Hemiptera; Aleyrodidae. The record is from RNAcentral.
CCGAGCACAAUACACGCGCGCCCACCUUCGAGAAGUUGGCAGCCGCGGUUUUAUCCGCCAGGAGAGGGACCAGUUUACGCUGAAUCAAAUUGCUCUCCUAAGGUGGAAUUAGGAGCGACAUCAAUGCCAUAUACAUCUGCCUGCUCCUUGUGUCCACCACAACAUUGUUUUGCGACAGAAAAAGCACCAUUGCAGAAGAAGAUAACGGUGACAAUGAUGAAGUAUGGCGACCAUCUCCUUAGCUAGGCAUGGUGACCUCUCAGUUGAUGCCACAGCAACUGUGAUAUGCAGUCAUAUAGUUGAGAACGAAAAUCAUGGCAAACGGAAAGAAAAGCUCAACAAAGAAACCUCGCAGAAACGAAUACUACCCGUACGACCAGGGGUACGACCGUGGAUAUAGCCACCAGCAACCCGAAAACUACACGUACAAUAAUGGGUAUUGGUACGAGGAGUACAACCAGCAACCAAACUACCCGUACAAUAAUGAGUACCACGAGGAGUACCACCAUUAUCAGCAGGACGAGGGCGAGGCAGAGAGGACUCGCCCCAGGACUGCCGCCAGUGCCGCCUCAGCCCCACUGGCUAUUGAGGUCCCUUCGGCGCCCUCUGUAAUCGUAGCUGGCUGGAAAGAAGCAGCAGAAUAAGAGUCACUCCUCCAGUCCUGUCGAGCAAUUUGGCAGCUUUUGCUGAGCCAAACUAUUUUUUUUCAAAUUGUUUUAUUUGUACUUCGUCGUACUGUUUUAUUUACGUCUUUGAAAAGCUUAAUUAAUAAUUAAUUACUAAAUUAAUAAUGACUCUUUAUUUGAUCUGUUGUUAUUUUGGCGACCGGACUCGGUCAAAGGCCAAAGAACUCCCGAUCACGCCUCAAGAGCGUAGGGAGGCUAGUCGAGCGAAAUUAUGAAAAUUUUGAGAACAGCUGGAUUCCAAGCUCAUACUGCCGUGCUAAGGAAGAACGCCGUAUGAACAUUCGAGAGUUGCCAAAUUUCCCCGAAUAAAACAUUUAUUUUUGAAGAAAGUUAUGCAUAUUUGUCCUUGAAAUUUUCAGACUUUUUAGAUAAAGUUACGAACAAUAUCCUCUUAGAAAUUGGAGAAAAAAUAUUAUCAAAUCUUCCUGAAAACUCGUG